GCCAAGCUGGGCGGCGUGGUGGCCGGGGGCUUUCUGGGCGCCUUUGGCGUGUUCGCGCUGGUCGCCUGGCUGUGCAUCCUGGGCCUGGCGC
Molecule: transfer RNA, 91 nt
Filed under: Achromobacter animicus
Lineage: Bacteria; Pseudomonadati; Pseudomonadota; Betaproteobacteria; Burkholderiales; Alcaligenaceae
Description: tRNA-Arg
Source: RNAcentral